Molecule: long non-coding RNA, 223 nt
Organism: Thalassophryne amazonica
Lineage: Eukaryota; Metazoa; Chordata; Actinopteri; Batrachoidiformes; Batrachoididae
Exons: 3
Source: RefSeq, a predicted model, not a curated record
AAACACAAAACGAUAAUGUUCAAACUGCCUUUUUUUUAGCAAUCCUGUGAAUCACUAAACUAGUAUUUAGUUGUAUAACCAUGAUUUUCAUGAUCUCUUCACAUUUGCAAGGCAUUAAUUUUGUUGGUUUGGAACCAAGAUUUUGCUCGUUUACUAGUGUGCUUGGGGUCAUUGUCUUGUUGAAACACCCAUUUCAAGGGCAUGUCCUCUUUAGCAUAAGGCA